Long non-coding RNA from Grus americana (Whooping crane), 950 nucleotides. RefSeq lists it as uncharacterized. The transcript has 5 exons. NCBI's taxonomy places the organism in Eukaryota, Metazoa, Chordata, Aves, Gruiformes, Gruidae. The record is from RefSeq and is a predicted model, not a curated record.
CUCAUACACACAGCUUCCAGCCCCAGCUGUCUGGGCCAAAAUGGGGAUCAGCAAAGCUGUCUGUCUUUUGCAUUUCUAUGCUCUGCUUUUUCAGUGAAAUUUUCACUCAUGUGGGGUUUGAAGAAAAAUACUGCAGAAAUCCUGAUGGGAAUGAAAAUAGACCAUGGUGUUUCACCAGAUCUGCUACCAGAUUAGAUUACAGUGGCAUCCCAGAGUGUAAAAUCCAGAUACUGCUGCUCGUUCACCUACCAAUGCCACACUCUUGAGUCUGCUGGAGUGGGAUCGUGUUCAACUUGGUCACGUUUCUGCCUGAUUGCUAUUAAAAGGAAGUGCAGAAUACACUUCAGGAGUCUAAUUAUAUUUGAAAAUGUAUUAUCAAGAUGCUGAUAUGUCAACACAUUCUUCAAGUCCAGAGGAGUGCUAUUGAGAGAGAGAGGCUUGGGUUACCAUGGAACAGUUUCUUUUACUUUCAUGGGAAAGAAAUGCCAAGCCUGGAGCUUGGUGAUGCUACAUCAUCACAACAGAACAGCAAGGGAUUUCCCAAAUGUGGAGACAGCGGAAGACCUUUUGUUUGUCUUGUCCAAGACAGUUUUGUCCAAUAUGCCCUCACCUCUUGGGAUCUUAGUUGUACUGUGCCGAAGAAACUUUCUGUCUUUGUCAGAGUUUCUAGUUACAGUUCUUGGAUUAAGUACGCGAUGGGAGCCAACUGAUCCUGGGAAUGGACUGCCCUCUCCUGGACAGCAGCAUGCAUAUUUGAAAUAUGAGAUUCCAAGUGCUACAUUAAAAUUAUAUUAAAUUUUAAGAAUAAAAAUUCAAUAUAAUCCAUUAUAAAUUACUGUAAACUAACACUCUGAUAAGUAGCCAAACUGAUGGCUUGUUCCUCUCUUUCAGUAUGCUCUGUAUUUCAGUGCAUUCUACAAUAAAACCAGGUGAAGCACCCAUUCAAAACA